CUCUCCUUAUCCCUUCACACGCACGCCUACCCAUCGAAGCCACCGCAUACCACGCCGCAAUUCGCCUGAGGCCCUCAUGCCGCCGCCGCUCGCCCCUUUCUCUGUAUGUCGCCAACGCAACCCUGUGCCCCAGGGUCGUUCCCUCCUUCCCACAAGGCUCGAGGAAGCCCAAGGAGGCGGCCAUGAGGAGCGCGCAGCCACCGGAGUCGUGGGCAGAUCUAGCCGGGGCCGUCGACAGCCAUCCCUCCCUCCGGGCGGCCAUGAAGAAUUUAAGCGGCUUGAGCAGAACUAGCACAUGGACCAUGCGCGCCUCCCGCGCUAGGAGCCACCGGUCCUCGUUAUCUGCUAGCAUCCACGAGGAAUCCAUCCAUAUAAUGUUACGACAUUUAAAAAUGUCAAAGGAUGUGACGAUGCAACGAAAGAACUUGAGUAGUGUUCUACUCGCCUUGGUGGAAAGGCACCAAAGGUAUUUUGUUCUAUGCCAGUCUGCAACAUGCAUUUUCAAUCUGCUAUGGACCUUUCUUUAUAGAAUAUUCUAGAUACAUAUUUGUAGCUUAAGAUAUUUUUGGUUCAAUGUUGAUUCAAUAGCUCCGAACCAUUAAUAUUUUUUUUCUUCUGAGAAUGCUUUUAACUGGAGCUCAAAGAAUUGGGAAGAACCUAUUCGCUAGCUUCAUGUUAUUCUGAACCGAGUAAAAGAACACACCCAUCUAUGAGGUACUUGAUGUGUUUUGUACUUUGUUUUCACACACACACAAUGGAUGUUAACUAUGUAUGUGGGAAUAGAAAGAUCCAGAAUUCUUGUAUUUGCACUUUUCCGCUUCCAUGUUUUCUAGCAAAAUGCUUCAUUAUAUUCACUGAAAACUUGUGAUGAUUAUUUGGUUUGCAAAUUUGUGUCCUCUUUAAUUCGUAGCAGGGAGCAUUGCCCUUACUUUGCAUGAUAAAACACUUGGAAGGGCUUUGAAGAAUCUUUUUUUGAGCAGUGAGAACAACCUUGAUCAUAAAAUAAACCUCCUUUUUGUUUUUAGACAUAAAAGAACCGUUGCCAAUGCCUAUCCUUCUACUACCUGCAGUUGGACCAAAUCUAAGAGAAGAUGGCCAGAACAACUUAUUUUUAGCGUGGUUGUGGGAUGCACAAACCUGGAACAAUGGGAUUUAUGUUUGUUAUAUCAUUGGGAACAAUAGCACUCGAUGUCAAGUAAUCUAUGUUCGAUACAUGAUAUAUUUGUAAUGAAAACUGCAACAUGUGCGAUUUGCGGAAUGUAAUGAAGUUUAAAAGUUCUGUUACUACCACAACCGAAUAUACAUAGUAUGUAGAUUUUCAGCACACGAGCUCACAUGCUUUUUUCUUAGAAAAUUCAAAGAAUGGAGUGUAGAUAAUUCAGAGAGAAAAUUUGUCAUAUAGAUUAUCUUGAGUCGAAGUUUGCAUGAAUUUCUGUUGUUGCUUUUUUUCUAUACAACCCAAAAGACGUAAAGAUUUUCACGAAACUUGAAACCUUGACAUAAUAAUGAAUCCAACAUCCCUAGAGUCGUAUGAGAUUAGGCAAAGAGAAUAGACAUAGAAUUUUUCUUAUCAUUUGAAUAUUGUCAAAUGACUAAUGAUGAGAAAUAUAUUCAUCUAGAUUUUGAGCACAAGCUUCUCAACUAUGUUCUGUAUUAAUACAAUUUCGUAAUAAAUUUAGGUUCUUAUUUUUUGUUUUUUAAAUUGUUUGUUAACAAGAAUAAAAGAAAAAAUUCUUCAAAAGGCUUUACAUGCAUUGCACGUGGAAGCUAACUAGUUUGUUAUAAUGCAUAAAAUCUUGGCAUGGGUUAAAUUGCUAAACCUUCAAGACUGUUCGUUGGAGUGAGGACGUGCUCGGACAUUGACCCUACCAUCCAUCAACUCAUUGUUGCUGAUAUCAUAGUGCAUACAACCUUUUUCACAUGUGUUAUCUUAUUUCACCAUGGAUAAUGCACUGCUUACGUAUAUUCAUUUGUUAUAUGCUUUACAUGACAAAUGGAUAUAUGCUGAUGGCCACACGUAUAGAGGCUGGCGAUCAACUCUGAAAAUUCAUAGUAUACACCAGAAAGGCUGGCGAUCAACUCUAAGUUUCACUUACAAGGCAUACAAAACAGAUGCAGCUAGAUUGGCUAUCUGCUGGAAGAUUUACAACCAGAAGAGUGGGAAUGGAUGAUUGAGUACUUUGGCACUGGUUCAAAAUUUCAGGACCACAGCCAAAAGAACACCGAUAGUCGUAAGAAACAGAAGACAAAACACAAAAUUGGAUCAAAAACUUACUCGCAACUAAGUUUUGAGAAGAGAAACUUGGAAACUGGAGAAGAGCCAGAUUGUAUUGUUCUGUGGGAACUCACCCACACAAAGAAUGGAACAUGGUCUAACACAGAGUCCCAGGAUGUUUACGAUCCAAAGAACUAGCUCGAUUGGACUCUAGAUCACGGACAAUUUAGUCUUGGAACUUAAUUAGGAUGGCUAAAUUACAUUUGAGUUUCAUUUGAUGGAUAUUUACUAUGAGAAUUAUGAAUUUUAUGAAUCUACAUAUUAUACGUGUGGUUUUAAAUAUUGUAAUUGAAUGCCUAUAUUUUUUUUAGGUUGCAAUAGGCUAUUGCCACAACCCACUUUUGGUUGCCA
Molecule: non-coding RNA, 2626 nt
Organism: Aegilops tauschii subsp. strangulata
Lineage: Eukaryota; Viridiplantae; Streptophyta; Magnoliopsida; Poales; Poaceae
Source: RefSeq, a predicted model, not a curated record